GGGUAACGGCCCACCAAGGCGACGAUCGGUAGCCGGACUGAGAGGGCGACCGGCCACAUUGGGACUGAGACACGGCCCAAACUCCUACGGGAGGCAGCAGUGGGGAAUAUUGCACAAUGGGGGAAACCCUGAUGCAGCGACGCCGCGUGAGUGAAGAAGUAUUUCGGUAUGUAAAGCUCUAUCAGCAGGGAAGAAACUGACGGUACCUGACUAAGAAGCCCCGGCUAACUAC
This 232-nucleotide ribosomal RNA is filed under the name uncultured bacterium. RNAcentral's name for it is "partial 16S ribosomal RNA". It matches the Rfam family "Bacterial small subunit ribosomal RNA", at positions 255 to 504 of the family's 1533-position model. The record is from RNAcentral.